CAAAGGGAAGCGAGCAUGUGAAUGUGAGCAAAUCCCAAAAAUAACGUCUCAGUUCGGAUUGUAGUCUGCAACUCGACUACAUGAAGCUGGAAUCGCUAGUAAUCGCGAAUCAGAAUGUCGCGGUGAAUACGUUCCCGGGUCUUGUACACACCGCCCGUCACACCAUGGGAGUCAGUAACGCCCGAAGCCGGUGACCCAACCAAACGGAGGGAGCCGUCGAAGGUGGGACCGAUAACUGGGGUGAAGUCGUAACAAGGUAUC
RNAcentral lists this ribosomal RNA (261 nucleotides) under uncultured bacterium. RNAcentral describes it as "partial 16S ribosomal RNA". It matches the Rfam family "Bacterial small subunit ribosomal RNA", at positions 1240 to 1500 of the family's 1533-position model. The record is from RNAcentral.